GACGAACUUUGGCGGCGUGCUUAACACAUGCAAGUCGAACGGAAAGGCCCUGCUUUUGUGGGGUGCUCGAGUGGCGAACGGGUGAGUAACACGUGAGUAACCUGCCCUUGACUUUGGGAUAACUUCAGGAAACUGGGGCUAAUACCGGAUAGGAGCUCCUGCUGCAUGGUGGGGGUUGGAAAGUUUCGGCGGUUGGGGAUGGACUCGCGGCUUAUCAGCUUGUUGGUGGGGUAGUGGCUUACCAAGGCUUUGACGGGUAGCCGGCCUGAGAGGGUGACCGGCCACAUUGGGACUGAGAUACGGCCCAGACUCCUACGGGAGGCAGCAGUGGGGAAUAUUGCACAAUGGGCGGAAGCCUGAUGCAGCAACGCCGCGUGCGGGAUGACGGCCUUCGGGUUGUAAACCGCUUUCGCCUGUGACGAAGCGUGAGUGACGGUAAUGGGUAAAGAAGCACCGGCUAACUACGUGCCAGCAGCCGCGGUGAUACGUAGGGUGCGAGCGUUGUCCGGAUUUAUUGGGCGUAAAGGGCUCGUAGGUGGUUGAUCGCGUCGGAGGUGUAAUCUUGGGGCUUAACCCUGAGCGUGCUUUCGAUACGGGUUGACUUGAGGAAGGUAGGGGAGAAUGGAAUUCCUGGUGGAGCGGUGGAAUGCGCAGAUAUCAGGAGGAACACCAGUGGCGAAGGCGGUUCUCUGGGCCUUUCCUGACGCUGAGGAGCGAAAGCGUGGGGAGCGAACAGGCUUAGAUACCCUGGUAGUCCACGCUGUAAACGGUGGGUACUAGGUGUGGGGUCCAUUCCACGGGUUCCGUGCCGUAGCUAACGCUUUAAGUACCCCGCCUGGGGAGUACGGCCGCAAGGCUAAAACUCAAAGGAAUUGACGGGGCCCCGCACAAGCGGCGGAGCAUGCGGAUUAAUUCGAUGCAACGCGUAGAACCUUACCUGGGUUUGACAUGGAUCGGGAGUGCUCAGAGAUGGGUGUGCCUCUUUUGGGGUCGGUCCACAGGUGGUGCAUGGCUGUCGUCAGCUCGUGUCGUGAGAUGUUGGGUUAAGUCCCGCAACGAGCGCAACCCUUGUUCACUGUUGCCAGCACGUUAUGGUGGGGACUCAGUGGAGACCGCCGGGGUCAACUCGGAGGAAGGUGGGGAUGACGUCAAGUCAUCGUGCCCCUUAUGUCCAGGGCUUCACGCAUGCUACAAUGGCUGGUACAGAGAGUGGCGAGCCUGUGAGGGUGAGCGAAUCUCGGAAAGCCGGUCUCAGUUCGGAUUGGGGUCUGCAACUCGACCUCAUGAAGUCGGAGUCGCUAGUAAUCGCAGAUCAGCAACGCUGCGGUGAAUACGUUCCCGGGGC
RNAcentral lists this ribosomal RNA (1345 nucleotides) under uncultured bacterium. RNAcentral describes it as "partial 16S ribosomal RNA". It matches the Rfam family "Bacterial small subunit ribosomal RNA", at positions 28 to 1380 of the family's 1533-position model. The record is from RNAcentral.